RNAcentral lists this ribosomal RNA (253 nucleotides) under uncultured archaeon. Its description in RNAcentral is "partial 16S ribosomal RNA". It matches the Rfam family "Archaeal small subunit ribosomal RNA", at positions 474 to 727 of the family's 1478-position model. The record is from RNAcentral.
CACCGGCACCUCGAGUGGUAGCCACUAUUAUUGGGCCUAAAGCAUCCGUAGCCGGCUCUGUAAGUUUUCGGUUAAAUCCAUGUGCUCAACGCAUGGGCUGCCGAAAAUACUGCAUAGCUAGGGAGUGGGAGAGGUAGACGGUACUCGGUAGGAAGGGGUAAAAUCCUUUGAUCUAUCGAUGACCACCUGUGGCGAAGGCGGUCUACCAGAACACGUUCGACGGUGAGGGAUGAAAGCUGGGGGAGCAAACCGG